Molecule: ribosomal RNA, 460 nt
Filed under: Corynebacterium durum
Lineage: Bacteria; Bacillati; Actinomycetota; Actinomycetes; Mycobacteriales; Corynebacteriaceae
Description: bacterial SSU rRNA
Rfam family: Bacterial small subunit ribosomal RNA
Source: RNAcentral
GACGAACGCUGGCGGCGUGCUUAACACAUGCAAGUCGAACGGAAAGGCCCACCACCUUGGUGGUGGGUACUCGAGUGGCGAACGGGUGAGUAACACGUGGGUGAUCUGCCCCGCACUGUGGGAUAAGCCUGGGAAACUGGGUCCAAUACCACAUACGACCAUGGCGUAGGGGUCAUGGUGGAAAGCCUUGUGCGGUGUGGGAUGAGCCCGCGGCCUAUCAGCUUGUUGGUGGGGUAAUGGCCUACCAAGGCGGCGACGGGUAGCCGGCCUGAGAGGGUGGACGGCCACAUUGGGACUGAGACACGGCCCAGACUCCUACGGGAGGCAGCAGUGGGGAAUAUUGCACAAUGGGCGCAAGCCUGAUGCAGCGACGCCGCGUGGGGGAUGAAGGCCUUCGGGUUGUAAACUCCUUUCGCCCGGGACGAAGCCCACCUGGUGGGGACGUACCGUGAGAAGAAGC